GGCACCAAACACUCAGGUGCACCCACUGCUACUUGGGCCUGAAGGAGAAUCUUCAGCAGGCUCACAGGAGCUGUUCUGUCCUGGCUUUCUUUGCAGUUGAACCUGAUGAUAAAGGCGAUCCAGCUUCUAAACCCAUGUCCAGGAAUGACCUUCUGAGAGAUGCUGAGGGCAUGUCUGCAGGGAGGACUUUUCAGACGCCUUUGCUGGUUACUGCACGCAGGCCUGGCUCCCAUCGCAGGGGUCUUCCAAGGGGAAAGAACAAAGCUACAGGACACAAGGAAUCCCAUGGGCUACCUGAAUACAUGAGGAAAAUGCUGAAGGAAAUGCAGCAGGCAGGAGGACAAGAAGUGGAUGGAGAGGCUGUGCAGAAGGCAGCGUUUCCCGAAGGAAGCAGUGGUUCCGUGCCAGCCUCUGCUGCAGGAAGACAGGCGAUGCCAGGCACAGGCACAGGAGGUUGGGAUCAAGACAUGGAUUAUUUGGAAAACCUGCUGGAUUAUGGCUUGAGACUCAUGGGAAAUCCUGGAGGCAAGUGCUCAAUGUACCUUUCCUG
Long non-coding RNA from Passer domesticus (house sparrow), 550 nucleotides. RefSeq lists it as uncharacterized. The record is from RefSeq and is a predicted model, not a curated record. The transcript has 5 exons. NCBI's taxonomy places the organism in Eukaryota, Metazoa, Chordata, Aves, Passeriformes, Passeridae.